Non-coding RNA from Myiozetetes cayanensis, 72 nucleotides. The record is from the annotation of a RefSeq genome assembly. Lineage: Eukaryota; Metazoa; Chordata; Aves; Passeriformes; Tyrannidae.
GCCCCUGGUGGUUUAGUGGUAAGGCGCGGCGCUGCCACCGCCAAGACCCGGGUUCGAUUCCCGGUCAGGGCC